GAACGCUAGCUACAGGCUUAACACAUGCAAGUCGAGGGCGAUCAGACGAUAGCUUGCUAUUGUUGCUGGCGACCGGCGCACGGGUGAGUAACGCGUAUCCAACCUGGCCCUUAGUAGGGGAUAGCCCGGCGAAAGUCGGAUUAAUACCCUAUGUUUUCCUUUGACGGCAUCUGAUUUGGAAUAAAGAUUAAUCGCUAAGGGAUGGGGAUGCGUCUGAUUAGGUAGUAGGCGGGGUAACGGCCCACCUAGCCAACGAUCAGUAGGGGUUCUGAGAGGAAGGUCCCCCACAUUGGUACUGAGACACGGACCAAACUCCUACGGGAGGCAGCAGUGAGGAAUAUUGGUCAAUGGACGAGAGUCUGAACCAGCCAAGUAGCGUGCAGGAUGACUGCCCUAUGGGUUGUAAACUGCUUUUAUGCGGGAAUAAAGUUCGGCACGUGUGCCGUUUUGUAUGUACCGCAUGAAUAAGGACCGGCUAAUUCCGUGCCAGCAGCUGC
Molecule: ribosomal RNA, 497 nt
Filed under: uncultured bacterium
Lineage: Bacteria
Description: bacterial SSU rRNA
Rfam family: Bacterial small subunit ribosomal RNA
Source: RNAcentral